AGGAUCGUAGUGAUGGUUAUCAUGUCUGCUUUACACGCGGAAGGUCUCCGGUUCGAACCCGGGCAGAACUA
Molecule: non-coding RNA, 71 nt
Organism: Schistosoma mansoni
Lineage: Eukaryota; Metazoa; Platyhelminthes; Trematoda; Strigeidida; Schistosomatidae
Source: Rfam